This 493-nucleotide ribosomal RNA is filed under the name Staphylococcus pseudintermedius. RNAcentral's name for it is "partial 23S ribosomal RNA". It matches the Rfam family "Bacterial large subunit ribosomal RNA", at positions 2433 to 2925 of the family's 2925-position model. Lineage: Bacteria; Bacillati; Bacillota; Bacilli; Caryophanales; Staphylococcaceae. The record is from RNAcentral.
AUGGAAGGGCCAUCGCUCAACGGAUAAAAGCUACCCCGGGGAUAACAGGCUUAUCUCCCCCAAGAGUUCACAUCGACGGGGAGGUUUGGCACCUCGAUGUCGGCUCAUCGCAUCCUGGGGCUGUAGUCGGUCCCAAGGGUUGGGCUGUUCGCCCAUUAAAGCGGUACGCGAGCUGGGUUCAGAACGUCGUGAGACAGUUCGGUCCCUAUCCGUCGUGGGCGUAGGAAAUUUGAGAGGAGCUGUCCUUAGUACGAGAGGACCGGGAUGGACAUACCUCUGGUGUACCAGUUGUCGUGCCAACGGCAUAGCUGGGUAGCUAUGUAUGGACGGGAUAAGUGCUGAAAGCAUCUAAGCAUGAAGCCCCCCUCUAGAUGAGAUUUCCCAACUUCGGUUAUAAGAUCCCUCAAAGAUGAUGAGGUGAAUAGGUUCGAGGUGGAAGCGUAGUGAUACGUGGAGCUGACGAAUACUAAUCGAUCGAAGACUUAAUCAACAU